This 888-nucleotide long non-coding RNA is filed under the name Penaeus japonicus. RNAcentral describes it as "uncharacterized LOC122258445". Lineage: Eukaryota; Metazoa; Arthropoda; Malacostraca; Decapoda; Penaeidae. The record is from RNAcentral.
CUUCUCGAACAAUGAUAUUGCUGUCAUCGUCCGCAUGUAUUGUACGCCCCGCUGCCAGUGCCUUGGGUGACCGUCAUAGCCUGGCUGUCCUCAUCCCAAUGGUCGCUUGUCUGAAGGGAGACACCUACCCAGCCAGGCCUACGGUGUACACAGGCAGAGAGGAGAGCCGCUUAUUAGCAUACUUUUCUGUGAAGACUCCUUGACUCUGACACACGAGAAUGAAAAAUCGGGACAAUCCAACGAAACACUUUAGGGCCACAAGUUUGCCGGGCGAGGGCGGUAUAGCUGCACGUCACAGGAGUCCAAGACACACUGAGGGCAAAUCAAAAUAGUGGAGCGACCUGCGCGGUGCUGGCCUGGCCUGGGUGCUAGUGCCUCGAGUAAGAAUAGUCACGCCGCUCGGGAGGAAAGGCGAGUGGAGGGAGAGGAAAGGGAGAAAUAGGAGAUCCUAUAUUUUCGAUCUUUCUAUCUAUUUUGUUUCACUAUUUUCUAUAGUAUGAAGCUGUUCGUACAAAAAAAAUAUCAUACUGAUAUCAUCAUAUAAUUUUGCAGACAUUGUUUACGACAUUAAUGUUGUGUCUCCAUAAGGUAAAAGGAUAAUGAUAAUAACAUACUUUCAAAGUUUGUAAUAACGUUUUUCUUUUUUUGUAGCUGAGUAAAAAGUAUAUUUUACAUGAAAAUACAGCCUCAGAUUAACGCCAUAAAGGGGGAAAACUUCAUUAACGUAUUUUUCUAUCUUCGCUUCGUGAUUAGUGUCAACGGAGAUAAAAGCGACCAUCUGCUUCUGCAUUGCCUUUGUUAUCAACAAGAGGAAUCAACCAUUUCUGACUUAAUUUCCAUAUUCCACAUGAAAGUGUAUUUAGUAAAUAAUAAAUACAGUCCCAGAUA